This 254-nucleotide long non-coding RNA is filed under the name Hordeum vulgare. RNAcentral's name for it is "long non-coding RNA (HVUL_LNC002366)". The record is from RNAcentral. Lineage: Eukaryota; Viridiplantae; Streptophyta; Magnoliopsida; Poales; Poaceae.
UGCUGGAAGAGGAGGUUUCUCAGCCCCAAGAUGGGCUGCUAGUGCUUCUACUUCUGGCAAUACUGGAUGGGCUAGUUACUUCAAUGCUAGUGGUAAUAUAUGAGCUAGGUGACAGUAAGGCUAGUGCUAAAACUAGGUGACAAUAAUUGUCUGUUUGAGAACUACUUUGUCUGUUUGAGAACUAUUUUGUCUGUCAUGUAUGAGGUGUUUGAGAACUAGGUGACUUUUGUGGUGUUUGAUGAUGAAGUGCUACC